UCAGCUCAAUGAUUAUCACCACAACAAUUACCGGCACCAUGGUUGCUGGGGUGGGCUGAUACGCGUAAGUAUUUUAAAAAAGCCCGCCCUGAUUAAUCAGAGCGGGUUUUUUUU
This 114-nucleotide small RNA is filed under the name Aliivibrio wodanis. Lineage: Bacteria; Pseudomonadati; Pseudomonadota; Gammaproteobacteria; Vibrionales; Vibrionaceae. The record is from RNAcentral.